UGCCAGCAGCCGCGGUAAUACGGAGGGCGCAAGCGUUGUUCGGAAUCAUUGGGCGUAAAGCGCGUGUAGGCUGUCAGGUAAGUCGGGUGUGAAAGCCCGGGGCUCAACCCCGGAAAUGCACUCGAUACUGCCUGACUGGAGUCCCGGAGGGGAGAGCAGAAUUCCCGGUGUAGAGGUGAAAUUCGUAGAUAUCGGGAGGAAUACCAGUGGCGAAGGCGGCUCUCUGGACGGUGACUGACGCUGAGACGCGAAAGCGUGGGGAGCAAACAGGAUUAGAUAC
This 280-nucleotide ribosomal RNA is filed under the name uncultured bacterium. RNAcentral describes it as "partial 16S ribosomal RNA". It matches the Rfam family "Bacterial small subunit ribosomal RNA", at positions 506 to 785 of the family's 1533-position model. The record is from RNAcentral.